UACGUAGGGGCCUAGCGUUGUCCGGAUUUAUUGGGCGUAAAGAGCUCGUAGGCGGUUUGGUAAGUCAGGUGUGAAAUCUCCACGCUCAACGUGGAGGGGCCACCCGAAACUGCCAUGACUUGAGUCCGGUAGGGGAGUGUGGAAUUCCCGGUGUAGCGGUGAAAUGCGCAGAUAUCGGGAGGAACACCCGUGGCGAAAGCGGCGCGCUGGACCACUACUGACGCUGAGGAACGAAAGCUAGGGGAGCAAACAGG
RNAcentral lists this ribosomal RNA (254 nucleotides) under uncultured bacterium. Its description in RNAcentral is "partial 16S ribosomal RNA". It matches the Rfam family "Bacterial small subunit ribosomal RNA", at positions 524 to 776 of the family's 1533-position model. The record is from RNAcentral.